AUUGCCUAGUACGGCGAGUGAAGCGGCAACAGCUCAAAUUUGAAAUCUGGCGUCUUUGGCGUCCGAGUUGUAAUUUGCAGAGGGCGCUUUGGCAUUGGCAGCGGUCCAAGUUCCUUGGAACAGGACGUCACAGAGGGUGAGAAUCCCGUACGUGGUCGCUAGCCUUUACCGUGUAAAGCCCCUUCCACGAAUCGAGUUGUUUGGGAAUGCAGCUCUAAAUGGGAGGUAAAUUUCUUCUAAAGCUAAAUACUGGCCAGAGACCGAUAGCGCACAAGUAGAGUGAUCGAAAGAUGAAAAGCACUUUGGAAAGAGAGUUAAAAAGCACGUGAAAUUGUUGAAAGGGAAGCGCUUGCAGCCAGACUUGCCUGUAGUUGCUCAUCCGGGUUUCUACCCGGUGCACUCUUCUACGGGCAGGCCAGCAUCAGUUUGGGCGGUUGGAUAAAGGUCUCUGUCAUGUACCUCCCUUCGGGGAGAUCUUAUAGGGGAGACGACAUGCAACCAGCCUGGACUGAGGUCCGCGCAUCUGCUAGGAUGCUGGCGUAAUGGCUGU
Molecule: ribosomal RNA, 550 nt
Filed under: Epicoccum nigrum
Lineage: Eukaryota; Fungi; Ascomycota; Dothideomycetes; Pleosporales; Didymellaceae
Description: partial large subunit ribosomal RNA
Rfam family: Eukaryotic large subunit ribosomal RNA
Source: RNAcentral